GCCAUAGCUCAGUGGCAGAGUAUCUGCUUUGUAUGCAGAAAGCCCCAGAUUCAACCCCCAGCAUCGCCA
This is a non-coding RNA of Podarcis lilfordi (Lilford's wall lizard), 69 nucleotides long. NCBI's taxonomy places the organism in Eukaryota, Metazoa, Chordata, Lepidosauria, Squamata, Lacertidae. The record is from the annotation of a GenBank genome assembly.